UACAGAGGUGGCAAGCGUUGUUCGGAAUUACUGGGCGUAAAGGGCGCGUAGGCGGCCAUCUAAGUCAGACGUGAAAUCCCCCGGCUUAACCUGGGAACUGCGUCUGAUACUGGACGGCUUGAGUAUGGGAGAGGGAUGUAGAAUUCCAGGUGUAGCGGUGAAAUGCGUAGAUAUCUGGAGGAAUACCGGUGGCGAAGGCAGCUCGCUGGAACGUUACUGACGCUGAGACGCGAAAGCGUGGGGAGCAAACAGG
RNAcentral lists this ribosomal RNA (253 nucleotides) under uncultured bacterium. RNAcentral's name for it is "partial 16S ribosomal RNA". It matches the Rfam family "Bacterial small subunit ribosomal RNA", at positions 524 to 776 of the family's 1533-position model. The record is from RNAcentral.